RNAcentral lists this long non-coding RNA (1170 nucleotides) under Struthio camelus australis. RNAcentral describes it as "lncRNA (ENSSCUG00000007067.1)". Lineage: Eukaryota; Metazoa; Chordata; Aves; Struthioniformes; Struthionidae. The record is from RNAcentral.
AUGCCUGGCUUUACCAUCUAUAAAGAAUAUUUGUGGCCCUGCAAGGUAGCCUGGCUGCGGAUGGUGAACUCUUCCUAUGGAGACUGGCAUUCAUGUUUAAGCAUUCCCAGGGAUGCCAGGUUUAUCCUUAUCAUGCAGCCACAUUGGUGUAUGCGUUGCAAAACUGGCUUACAGAAGAACCUGUAUUUCAAAGCCGAGCUUCUGUUGGUGUUACAGGAAGCUUUAAGGCCUAAGGUGUGUGAAGGCUUUAAGACCCAAGGUAUUUCUCCUCUCUGCCAGAUAAGGCUGAUGCUGUUUCUAUUUCCAGGUCUAGGUGCAAGGCUGAGCAUGCAUUUCGAAGAUGCAAAUAUGUAUGCUCUACAAGCAUGGCUGGCCACACAAACAAGAGACCAGUGCCUUUACCAGCAUCUACACAAACAGAAACAUAAAUGUGAACAACACAGAUGGCCCAACAGCUUCCUACUGUCUGGCCGAGGACUGAAGGUUAUUAGUGAGACACUAUGAGAUCAAAUGGGCCAGACAUCCUAUCAAGAAGUCCAAGUAAAAAGCUGAGCUUGAAAUCUUCACAGAGAUAGUACAAAAAAGUUGCUGAGCAGCUUCUCUGCAGGGCCUGGGAAGAGCAGGAGCAUAGAAACCUGGACAGGCUUAUGGAGCUGUGGCCUACUGGAAGGGAAUAUAGAAGAGCACAUAGAAGAGCUGAUCUGGACAUCAUCCUGCACACCCAUGCACUUACACAUCCUUGUGCGGGACUUGGCUUUUGCUUACUUCAGAGACAGUCUUAACCCUCAUGAGAAUUUAUCUACGUGGUCAGCUUUACACGCCAUACCUUCUUCCAGGUCCACCUGUGAAACACUAACUAUUCACAAGCUGUGGUGCUGGCCCAAAUCUGCAAUGUCUGACCGCCCUGGAGCAGUGGUCCUUUGCCAUGCUAGAGCGAAGUCAAGCCUGUCCACAAAAACCAGCCUUUGCACUGUGUUCUGGAGGCACAGCUAAGGGUCAGAUACAGCCGACGUGGUUACUAUCACGCCUGUACUAGUGCCUCUCCCUUGCUGUACUGGGAGGGCAAACAAGCCAACUCAAGCUGGUGGGUGGCUUCACGUUGAAGUAGACUAAAUGUACCUAUACAGCCAGCUGCAGCUGAAAGGUGCAAUAAAAUAUUCUUAAUUUCCA